RNAcentral lists this ribosomal RNA (18 nucleotides) under Verruconis verruculosa. Its description in RNAcentral is "partial 26S ribosomal RNA". The record is from RNAcentral. Lineage: Eukaryota; Fungi; Ascomycota; Dothideomycetes; Venturiales; Sympoventuriaceae.
CCCACAAAGAGUUUGGCC